AAUUAGAUGAGAAUUUUAGAUGAUUUAAGACAAUAUUUUUAAACAUGUUACAUCAAUCUUCUGAGUUGUUUAAAAGCAAGACAUUGUCACUCUCUACUGCUGAAUAUGAUGCAUAUAAUUUAUGAUACGUUCAGUGAAUAAGGAGGAGAAUACACAGAGGUUUUUAAAUAAAAUAAAUCUUAUUUAAAUUAAAAUCUAUAUGUUGGGUUGAGUUUAGGAGCAACUGAAUAAGUAGUAGAACGUAAUUUGGAGAGCAUAAUGGCAAAUUCAGGAAUUAUUUCAGUUGCUAGGUACUAUAUAAAAGGUGCCGAGAACAGAGACAUUGAAGAACUGUGUAAAGGCCAGUUACUUUAACCAUUUAGUUUUUAGUAUGUAAAGUAAGUAGAUUGCACAAAGAAUAUUUAUAAAUUACUUUUCAAGUUUAAGCAUUUUAUUCAAUCUGUGGGAAAAUUAUAAACUCUUGUCAUGCACUAAAGCAAAGAAUAUUAAAAAGAACAAGCAUAUUAAAAACUGUAAAAGCCUACAUUAUUUUUUAAGGAAGGAUCGCAUCUUGUUUACUCUUUGUUUUUUGUGGAAGCUAUUAUAAAAGAAAAUGAAUGAGUUAACAAAUUGGCAGAUAUUAUAUAUAUAAAAAUUAAUGAGCUAUUUAGCAAUUAAUUUAAAGGAAAAGCUUAUUAAUAACUUCAGUGGAUUACUUAUAGUUUUAGAAUUUGAAGGUUGACAAAUUGCAUCUCUAAUUCAAGUAAGAAAUAAAAUUUAUAAUGGGAAGUUAUGUCUUUGAAGAGUCAGUAUCUUACUGUUGUGUGCCCAUAAAAAGGUUCAGUUAACAGAGACAAGAGAAAUACUCCUUUGAUUUUUCCCAUUAUAUGAGCAAUGCAUGCUCAUUAUCACUUGUUAAAACUACAUGGUACAUAAAGAAAAAAAAGUUAGAUUUAUAGAUUAAUAGUAACAUGGAAUAAAUCCCUAACAUUCUCUCUUCCGUAUCCUUCUCUGAAAUUAUAAAAUGGAGAUGAAGAAGUUUCAACAUCGGGACCAUAAUUCAAUUCUCUCCUAACUACUGAUUACAAUUGUGGUGGAGAAAAAGGUGUUCCUGGAGAAAGAAAGAAGACCAGAUAUUAGAGUGGGAAAGAAAAGAACAUUGAAUUAAAACAAACGGUAACUAAAAUGGCAGAAAAAAAGCUUCAGGUAUCGUAAAAGCAGUUGAGUUCUUGAUUUGAUUCUCCACUUGAUCGCUGUUGGUGUACAGAAGAUCUACUAAUUUGCAUACAUUAAUUUUGUAUCUGGAAAAUUUGCUGAAUUCUUCUAUCAGUUCUAGGAGCGUUCUGGAGGAGUCUUUGGAUUUUGAGGUCUGGAGGCUAGAAGUCUGAAACGAAGGUGUCAUCAUGGCCCUCUGCACCCUGUAAAGAAGAAUCUCCUUUUUUCUGCUGCUUCUAGCUUCUGGUAUUUGCUGGCAAUCCUUGAUGUCAGCUUGUAUAUGCAUUAGUCUAAUCUCUGCCUCCACCCUCAUAUGGCUAUCUUCUCCCUAUGUGUCUGCACAUCAUCUUCCCUCUGUGAGUCUGUGUCCAAAUACCUGUCUUCUCUAAUUGUAUUAGAUAAGAAGACCACCCUCUUCCAAUAUGACUUCAUCUUAACUAAUUACAUCAUUGCAGAUAUCUUUUUAGUUAACAGAAUUCAACCUUUAGCAAAGAUUAAAGGAGAGCAAAUGAUAUCAUGUCUUAAAAUUCAAAGUCCUAAACAAAGCUUUUAGAAUAUUUACACUUAAUCAUUUUGGGUUUAUCUUGAACACUGUGAAACCUGAUGGAGUUUGAAUCAAUCCAGAAAUUAGGAAGCACAAAUACCAAGUCUUUUUAUUAUAAACACCUCUCAAAUAUGAAUACUUUGGGAAAGGCAUAUAUUAUCCAUUAUUUUCACAUUCAUAAUGGGUUUGAUGAUUUUUAGCAAAUACUAAAUAUGGUAUAAAAGAUAUACUCUUGAAAAUACCACAAACUCCUGCAGUGCAAUUCAGAAACUACCACUUGGUGGCAAGAUAAUGCUGCUGUUAAUGGGCUUAGCAAUGACCUACAUACUUUUUCCUUUGAAUUCUAAAUCCUUGAUAAAUUUGAAAUAGAUUUGCAAAGGGAGACAGGCUAAAUUACUGACAUUUUUUAAAAAGAAAAUAAUUUACAUAAUAAAAAUGACUCUGGUAAAACACACAUGUAAAAUUCAGUUCAAACAAUGAGUUAAUUCUUUGACUAUUAUUAGUAAAAUACUCAAAUAAAAAUGGAAAUGAAUAAGAAAAUAAUUAUUCCAUAGAUAUAUUUUAUAUCUGUAUAUUUUCUUACAAAUCCUAGCCCAAGGUGAGGUGUCAUAAUUUUUUUUUGGCUCUGGCUCAUUUGAUUGAGCAUGACUACCCAGUGCAAUAUUUACAUUUGUCUCCCGGUAGCACUUUAGAAUAAUAUGUCCCUAUUUUAUUGAACUACUACUACCUUUUAGAAGAAUUAUGAAGCUUCUGGCAGGGAAAAAUGGAUUCCUUACUUGGCACUGUGGUCAGACAAUGUUAUGCUUAGUAAAUAUACAGUGUUUUCUAUGAAAAAGAGUAUGAAGAUUUCUCAAAUAACUAAAAGUAGAACUACGAUUUAACCCGACAAUCCCACUACUGGGUAUCUACUCAAUAAAAAAGAAAUUAUUUUGCCAGAAAAGACACCUGAACUUUUAUGUGUAUCACACAUUAUUCACAAUAGCAAAGUCAUAGAAUAAAC
Molecule: long non-coding RNA, 2738 nt
Filed under: Homo sapiens (human)
Lineage: Eukaryota; Metazoa; Chordata; Mammalia; Primates; Hominidae
Description: HSALNT0210127
Source: RNAcentral